RNAcentral lists this long non-coding RNA (994 nucleotides) under Anser brachyrhynchus (Pink-footed goose). RNAcentral's name for it is "lncRNA (ENSABRG00000016078.1)". The record is from RNAcentral. Lineage: Eukaryota; Metazoa; Chordata; Aves; Anseriformes; Anatidae.
GGAAUCACAAGGUCCAUAUCUGAAUGCAUUAGCUUUUAGGAAUAACAUACCUCAACUUUUUUGCAGUUGCAAGUUCUUUUGUCCUCUGGGACCAUCUCUCUCACUUGCUCUCCCCUUCCCUGUGUCCAGUCAGGUAACGGCAAACCAUCCCUAAUUCCUCGUUUUUUAUUUAUUUUUUUUUUUCCCAGAAUGGACAAGAAAGACAAAGCUGUUAUUAGUGCAGUAUAAGCAUUUACUCAUUUGCUUUGAAGGAGCUGAGAUGCUGUCACCUCUAAAGUCAAUUAAUUGUCUUCUGGCUAAUAAAAACAUCUGCAGUCCAUAAUCAGAUCCACCCCUUACUCCCUCACCCUGAAGGAGAACUGCUGCCAUAAAAGAGCAACCCCUUGGACAACACCUUUGUGAUGUUGUGAGAUGGCUGGGAUUACUGUGAGCGAGCAAGUAUGGUAUGCUCCUGGUUCAAGGCUCCAAACAGGUAGCUACUUCGGCUUCAGUGGCCAAGGGCUGGAUCAAGAAGAACUCUGGUUAGCUGAGUGACAGAAGUCUAAAUGCUAUGCCAUGCACUAAACGUUGGUCAUCCUUCCUCAGAUACCUACCCUGACCACUUAAGAGCAUUUCCUCUAUUACAACUGUCAAUCAGUUGAUCUAGCAUUAUGUUAUUGGUGCCAUUCAGUUGCUCAACAAGCUCAUGGAAGGAGGCCAUGGGCCUCUUCAGGCCUACUGUGUCUGGUGAAUAAUGCCUCCCAGCUUGGUAUACUGCCCUGCUGCAUGGGAAGGUAGCAGUUGUGGAUGGCUGAAUUUUGAGGUGACAUUAUCAGAUAGACUAAACAUGUGGUUUUUCAGUAUACCAUGAAGUAAGGCAGGAAAGCUGAUCUGUUUUUCAAACAGAUCCUUCUCUCAGUAGAAAGUGCAGCUCCUUCUCUAAAGAAAGUAGGAUUCAUUCUUAAGAGCAAAGAAAUGCAUAUUCUUCAGCAAGUAGGAUCCAGUGGGGCUCAUA